AACCUCAUCAGCCGGAAGGGAUUCCUUCUGGUUGAUGAGGUAUAAGAGCCUCAUUGGCCGGAAGGGAUUCCUUCUGGUUGAUGAGGUAUAAGAGCCUCAUUGGCCGGAAGGAAUCCCUUCUGGCUGGUGAGGUU
RNAcentral lists this microRNA precursor (134 nucleotides) under Puccinia graminis f. sp. tritici CRL 75-36-700-3. RNAcentral's name for it is "microRNA MIR807". The record is from RNAcentral. Lineage: Eukaryota; Fungi; Basidiomycota; Pucciniomycetes; Pucciniales; Pucciniaceae.